Molecule: transfer RNA, 57 nt
Filed under: Ovis aries (sheep)
Lineage: Eukaryota; Metazoa; Chordata; Mammalia; Artiodactyla; Bovidae
Rfam family: tRNA
About the family: Transfer RNA (tRNA) molecules are approximately 80 nucleotides in length.
Source: Rfam by way of RNAcentral
UGGCUCAGAGGUGAAAGCAUCUGCCUGGAAUGCUGGAGACCCAGGUUCGAUCCCUGG